This 272-nucleotide unclassified non-coding RNA is filed under the name Hevea brasiliensis (rubber tree). The record is from RNAcentral. Lineage: Eukaryota; Viridiplantae; Streptophyta; Magnoliopsida; Malpighiales; Euphorbiaceae.
AUGUAUAACACAGACUACACCAUUCUUUGAUUGCACAAAACCAGCCUUUCUUUGAAGCAUCCACAGUGUUUCUUGUUCUUUCAUUUUUUCUAAUAGAAAUCUCAUCUAUUAGCUUAUGCCAUUGCUGCAUCUUAUAGUUCUUACUCCAAAACAAAAUUCACAAGUCUGUCUCUUAUUGCAAAGCUAAAUGGCCAAGAUUUCUCCUCAUUGAUUCCAUGAUCUCAAAUAUGGUUUCUCCAUUGGAUCAGUCAAAUUGGAACUUUGAUGCCUCA